GUGAGUCAUCGAGUCUUUGAACGCACCUUGCGCUCGUUGGUAUUCCGACGAGCAUGCCUGUUUGAGUGUCAUUAAAUUCUCAACCUCAUCGCUUUUGUGAUGAUGGCUUGGAAGUUGGAGGUUUUUUGCAGGCUGAAAAGUCUGCUCCUCUCAAAUGAAUUAGUGGGUGCCCCGCGCAAACCUAUCUAUUGGUGUGAUAAUUAUCUACGCCGUGGAUCCUUAGGAUUGCUGUAAAAAGGUGUUUGCCCUGCUUCUAACCGUCUUCGGACAACUUGAACCAUUUGACCUCAAAUUCAGGUAGGACUACCCGCUGAACUUAAGCAUAUCAAUAAGCGGAGG
Molecule: ribosomal RNA, 339 nt
Filed under: uncultured fungus
Lineage: Eukaryota; Fungi
Description: eukaryotic LSU rRNA
Rfam family: 5.8S ribosomal RNA (bases 1-71)
Source: RNAcentral